UGGGGAAUAUUGCACAAUGGGCGAAAGCCUGAUGCAGCAACGCCGCGUGAGUGAUGAAGGUCUUCGGAUUGUAAAGCUCUGUCUUUUGGGACGAUAAUGACGGUACCAAAGGAGGAAGCCACGGCUAACUACGUGCCAGCAGCCGCGGUAAUACGUAGGUGGCGAGCGUUGUCCGGAUUUACUGGGCGUAAAGGGUGCGUAGGCGGAUGUUUAAGUGAGAUGUGAAAUACCCGGGCUUAACUUGGGUGCUGCAUUUCAAACUGGAUAUCUAGAGUGCAGGAGAGGAGAAUGGAAUUCCUAGUGUAGCGGUGAAAAUGCGUAGAGAUUAGGAAGAACACCAGUGGCGAAGGCGAUUCUCUGGACUGUAACUGACGCUGAGGCACGAAAGCGUGGGUAGCAAACAGGAUUAGAUACCCUGGUAGUCCACGCCGUAAAACGAUGAGUACUAGGUGUAGGAGGUAUCGACCCCUUCUGUGCCGCAGUAAAACACAUUAAAGUACUCCGCCUGGGAAGUACGAUCGCAAGAUUAAAAAC
RNAcentral lists this ribosomal RNA (534 nucleotides) under uncultured bacterium. Its description in RNAcentral is "partial 16S ribosomal RNA". It matches the Rfam family "Bacterial small subunit ribosomal RNA", at positions 355 to 900 of the family's 1533-position model. The record is from RNAcentral.